UAGUGUAGCGGUGAAAUGCGUAGAGAUUAGGAAGAACACCAGUGGCGAAGGCGACUUACUGGACUGUAACUGACACUGAGGCAUGAAAGCGUGGGGAGCAAACAGGAUUAGAUACCCUGGUAGUCCACGCCGUAAACGAUGGGUACUAGGUGUAGGGGGUAUCGACUCCCUCUGUGCCGCAGUUAACACAAUAAGUACCCCGCCUGGGGAGUACGGUCGCAAGAUUAAAACUCAAAGGAAUUGACGGGGACCCGCACAAGCAGCGGAGCAUGUGGUUUAAUUCGAAGCAACGCGAAGAACCUUACCUAGACUUGACAUCUCCUGAAUAACCUAGAGAUAGGCGAAGCCCUUCGGGGCAGGAUGACAGGUGGUGCAUGGUUGUCGUCAGCUCGUGUCGUGAGAUGUUGGGUUAAGUCCCGCAACGAGCGCAACCCUUAUCACUAGUUGCUACCAUUUAGUUGAGCACUCUAAUGAGACUGCCCGGGUUAACCGGGAGGAAGGUGGGGAUGACGUCAAAUCAUCAUGCCCCUUAUGUCUAGGGCUACACACGUGCUACAAUGGGCAGUACAGUGAGAUGCAAACUCGUGAGAGUGAGCCAAACUAUAAAACUGUUCCCAGUUCGGAUUGUAGGCUGCAACUCGCCUACAUGAAGCCGGAGUUGCUAGUAAUCGCGAAUCAGCAUGUCGCGGUGAAUACGUUCCCGGGUCUUGUACACACCGCCCGUCACACCAUGAGAGUUAGCAAUACCCGAAGUCCGUGAGGUAACCGCACGGAGCCAGCGGCCGAAGGUAGGGUUAGCGAUUGGGGUGAAGUCGUAACAAGGUAACC
RNAcentral lists this ribosomal RNA (828 nucleotides) under uncultured Bacillota bacterium. RNAcentral's name for it is "bacterial SSU rRNA". It matches the Rfam family "Bacterial small subunit ribosomal RNA", at positions 671 to 1501 of the family's 1533-position model. Lineage: Bacteria; Bacillati; Bacillota. The record is from RNAcentral.